This 1305-nucleotide ribosomal RNA is filed under the name Salmonella enterica. Its description in RNAcentral is "partial 23S ribosomal RNA". It matches the Rfam family "Bacterial large subunit ribosomal RNA", at positions 1 to 1251 of the family's 2925-position model. The record is from RNAcentral. Lineage: Bacteria; Pseudomonadati; Pseudomonadota; Gammaproteobacteria; Enterobacterales; Enterobacteriaceae.
GGGUUGUGAGGUUAAGCGACUAAGCGUACACGGUGGAUGCCCUGGCAGUCAGAGGCGAUGAAGGACGUGCUAAUCUGCGAUAAGCGCCGGUAAGGUGAUAUGAACCGUUAUAACCGGCGAUUUCCGAAUGGGGAAACCCAGUGUGAUUCGUCACACUAUCAUUACGUGAAUACAUAGCGUAAUGAAGCGAACCGGGGGAACUGAAACAUCUAAGUACCCCGAGGAAAAGAAAUCAACCGAGAUUCCCCCAGUAGCGGCGAGCGAACGGGGAGGAGCCCAGAGCCUGAAUCAGCAUGUGUGUUAGUGGAAGCGUCUGGAAAGGCGCGCGAUACAGGGUGACAGCCCCGUACACAAAAGCGCAUGUGCUGUGAGCUCGAUGAGUAGGGCGGGACACGUGGUAUCCUGUCUGAAUAUGGGGGGACCAUCCUCCAAGGCUAAAUACUCCUGACUGACCGAUAGUGAACCAGUACCGUGAGGGAAAGGCGAAAAGAACCCCGGCGAGGGGAGUGAAAAAGAACCUGAAACCGUGUACGUACAAGCAGUGGGAGCACAGGUUUACCUGUGUGACUGCGUACCUUUUGUAUAAUGGGUCAGCGACUUAUAUUCUGUAGCAAGGUUAACCGAAUAGGGGAGCCGGAGGGAAACCGAGUCUUAAUUGGGCGUUAAGUUGCAGGGUAUAGACCCGAAACCCGGUGAUCUAGCCAUGGGCAGGUUGAAGGUUGGGUAACACUAACUGGAGGACCGAACCGACUAAUGUUGAAAAAUUAGCGGAUGACCUGUGGCUGGGGGUGAAAGGCCAAUCAAACCGGGAGAUAGCUGGUUCUCCCCGAAAGCUAUUUAGGUAGCGCCUCGUGAAUUCAUCUCCGGGGGUAGAGCACUGUUUCGGCUAGGGGGCCAUCCCGGCUUACCAACCCGAUGCAAACUGCGAAUACCGGAGAAUGUUAUCACGGGAGACACACGGCGGGUGCUAACGUCCGUCGUGAAGAGGGAAACAACCCAGACCGCCAGCUAAGGUCCCAAAGUCAUGGUUAAGUGGGAAACGAUGUGGGAAGGCCCAGACAGCCAGGAUGUUGGCUUAGAAGCAGCCAUCAUUUAAAGAAAGCGUAAUAGCUCACUGGUCGAGUCGGCCUGCGCGGAAGAUGUAACGGGGCUAAACCAUGCACCGAAGCUGCGGCAGCGAACGUAUCACCCAAGACAACUUUACGGAGUUGACGAUUGACGGAGCGAAGCGACGUCAAAGCGUUCAUUAAAGUCGAGUUGGCUUAGGGAUACGUUCGUUGGGUAGGGGAGCGUUCUGUAAGCCUG